AUAACGGAAGAUAACUCGUAUCAGAAACGAGAAAAGUCUUCAGCUGUUAGAGAAGCCCUAAGACUAGAUCCAAAGCGUGUGCGCACAGAAGAAAUGUUUGCAGCCAGCUUCCCAGAUGUUAAAGAGCAUCAAAACCACCCUGUUUUUGGAAAGGAAUCAAGAGACAUUCGGAACAUCAUGAAAGAGGUCAAGGCAGAAAACAGGUGCAGACCAUCAUAAUCUACAGGCCUUGGUAAACACAUGGAAAGAAGAGGGCUGUGCCGUUGAGUACAGACCCUCUCAGGAGGAAGAGGAGGAGGAUGGUAGCGUGGUGAAGAUGCUGCUGUGCUUGCAGACGCCGUGGCAGAAGAGGCUUAUGCGACUGUAUGGACAGCAGAUGUGCUUACUGGAUGAAUCCUAUCGAGCUGGCAGGUGCGUCGGUGGUGCAGUUUGUCAUUUAAUGUGUACUAGUAUACAAGAAUGAAAUCUCAGAUUCACUACACCUAAACAUAAAAACUAUUUACUGGUCUUUGCCAUGCAGAAAUUCACUGCCACUCUUCUUUCUGUGGGUGAGGACGAAUGUCCGCUGUUGGAGUGUUUGUCACUCAGACAGAGACCAAAGAGGACAUCGCAGAAGCCUUGAAGGUGUUUCAGAAGUGGAAUUCAGACUGGAAUCCAUCACACUUCAUGGUGGACUUCUGUGAGGCGGAAAUCAGUGCUUUAGAGGAGGUGUUUAAGGGUUCUAAAGUGCUCCUCUGUGAUGUUCACCGAGAGAAGGCAUGGAUGGAGUGGAUAAGAAAAAAGGAGAAUGGUGUGACAUCUCAGGAAGAGGUUCUUAAACUUCUACAGGCCAUUGCAGAUUCUCAGACGAAUGAGGAGUUUGAGAACAACACUGUUACCCUCCAACAACAUCCAGACUGGCAGUCAAAUGAGAAGCUGAGAAGGUUCGUCAGCACAUGGCUAGUUCAUGCAGAGAGGUGGGUGAACAUGUUCGGAAAUGAGAACAUGCAUGUGGCUGCCUUCAAAAAUAAAGGUGUUAAAAGUCAAAAGGAUGUCCUGAAGCAUUCACACCUAAAGGGACACAGAAACUGCAGUCUCAGCGAAACGCUUAUAGUCAGUAUGAACAACUUCCUGCCAAGAUCGUAUCAAAAGUAUGUUGAAUUGAAUAUCAAAUGCUCAAGUGGCUCUCGCAAAUACAGCACAAAUGUGCCUUGUUAUGCAGGACACAGUCCAAGAAUUAUGUCUCAACACAUUAUAAAGAGGCACCAAGAGUCGCUGCCCUUCAAUGCAAGUGACAUAACAUCUGCUGGAGAGAACGUCUUCAAUGUUCAGAGUCAAACUUCACUGGAAAAACAUCAGGUGAACUUUGGUAAAGACGAUGAGAUGCCUUCAUGUACAUGCACGGACUGGCAGAGACAUCUUCUCCCAUGCCAGCAUUUCUGUGCUGUUUUUGCCUUAGUUCCUGGCUGGAGUUGGGAGAAUCUGAGUGCUGCGUACAGGAAGAACCCUCUCUUCACGUUUGACGAGGUUUGCCUGGGACAGUCUGCUACACUUCCUGCUGAUCUUCAAGGCGAAGAGGCUCUGAAGAAAAAUCAGGAGAAAGAUAGUAGUCCAGAGAGAUGUCCAUCUCCUGCUCCCUCAGAGCCCAUCCUGACCAAUCCUGAAGCAGAAAAAAGCGAGAAGUGCUGUAGCUUGUUGAAGGAGAUAUCAGAAUUGACAUGCCACAUACAGGACGGGACCUUUCUAGAUUCAGUAACUGAUCGCCUUACAGAUCUGUUAAAAGAUAUAAGGCGACACACUCCCCAUGAUGACAUCCUUGACCUUUCCUACGCCCCACCAUCCAAGAAAAUGUGUUCAGCAUCUGCAGAGCACCCAGAAUCAAUUAACACAGUUCCUCUGUAUCUGGAGAAGAUAAUGAGGGCAACCCAUACAAGUGAAUUUUGAACUACAUUUUUAAGGUGUUACUUCCCUCAAUCGUGAUUUGUGGUUGUAAACAUUUUUGUCAUUAAAAUGCUUUAAUUUUUUGGAAUAAUUGAGUUGUAAUUUCUGUUAUUCCGAUAUAACAUGAUUGAUGUAGCCUAACAAAACCUCAAGUAGUGUGAUAUCAUUGUCCUUUGCUUUCCUGACAAAAGUACCGUGCUGGUCAUUAAAAUACGAAAAAAAGUGAAUUUUACUAAUGUGAAGAUUCUCUCUAUUGUACAGUGGAGUUCAAAUAUUUGGGGCCGGUAAGAUAUUUGAAUGUUUUUGAAAGAAUUCUCUUCUGCUCACCAACGCUGCAUUUAUUUGAUACAGUAAAACAGGAAUAUUGUGAAAUAUUAUUACAGUUUAAAAUACCUGUUUUCUACUGGAAUAUAUUUUUAAAUGUAAUUUAUUCCUGUGAUGCAAAGCUGAAUUUUCCAGCAUCAUUACUCCAGUCUUCAAUGUCACAUGAUCCUUCAGAAAUCAUUCUAAUAUACUGAUUUGCUGCUUAAGAAAUACAGGUGCUGGUCAUAUAAUUAGAAUAUCAUCAAAAAGUUGAUUUAUUUCACUAAUUCCAUUCAAAAAGUGAAACUUGUAUAUUAUAUUCAUUCAUUACACACAGACUGAUAUAUUUCAAAUGUUUAUUUCUUUUCAUUUUGAUGAUUAUAACUGACAACUAAGGAAAAUCUCAAAUUCAGUAUCUCAGAAAAUUAGAAUAUUACUUAAGACCAAUACAAAGAAAAGAUUUUUAAAAACUUUGGCCAACUGAAAAUUAUGAGCAUGAAAAGUAUGAGCAUGUACAGCACUCAGUACUUAGUUGGGGCUCCUUUUGCCUGAAUUACUGCAGCAAUGCGGCGUGGCAUGGAGUCGAUCAGUCUGUGGCACUGCUCAGGUGUUAUGAGAGCCCAGGUUGCUCUGAUAGUGGCCUUCAGCUCUUCUGCAUUCUUGGGUCUGGCAUAUCGCAUCUUCCGGACCUCAAGCAACGUGGAUUGUGUGCCUCUCCUCUCUUCCUCCAGACUCUGGGACCCUGAUAUCCAAAGUAAAUGCAAAAUUUACUUUCAUCAGAGAACAUAACUUUGGACCACUCAGCAGCAGUCAAGUCCUUUUUGUCUUUAGCCCAUUCUGACGCUGUCUGUUGUUCAAGAGUGGCUUGACACAAGAAUGCGACAGCUGAAACCCAUGUCUUGCAUACGUCUGUGCAUAGUGGUUCUUGAAGCACUGACUCCAGCUGCAGUCCACUCUUUGUGAAUCUCCCCCACAUUUUUGAAUGGGUUUUGUUUCACAAUCCUCUCCAGGGUGCGGUUAUCCCUAUUACAUGUACACUUUUUUCUACCACAUCUUUUCCUUCCCUUCGCCUCUCUAUUAAUGUGCUUGGACACAGAGCUCUGUGAACAGCCAGCCUCUUUAGCAAUGACCUUUUGUGUCUUGCCCUCCUUGUGCAAGGUGUCAGUGGUCGUCUUUUGGACAUCUGUCAAGUCAGCAGUCUUCCCCAUGAUUGUGUAGCCUACAGAACUAGACUGAGAGACCAUUUAAAGGCCUUUGCAAGUGUUUUGAGUUAAUUAGCUGAUUAGAGUGUGGCACCAGGUGUCUUCAAUAUUGAACCUUUUCACAAUAUUCUAAUUUUUUGAGAUACUGAAUUUGGGAUUUUCCUUAGUUGUCAGUUAUAAUCAUCAAAAUUAAAAGAAAUAAACAUUUGAAAUAUAUCUGUCUCUGUGUAAUG
This is a long non-coding RNA of Cyprinus carpio (common carp), 3658 nucleotides long. The record is from Ensembl. Lineage: Eukaryota; Metazoa; Chordata; Actinopteri; Cypriniformes; Cyprinidae.